UACGGAAGGCAGCAGUGGGGAAUAUUGCACAAUGGGCGCAAGCCUGAUGCAGCCAUGCCGCGUGUAUGAAGAAGGCCUUCGGGUUGUAAAGUACUUUCAGUCGUGAGGAAGGUGUUAAGGUUAAUAACCUUAGCAAUUGACGUUAGCGACAGAAGAAGCACCGGCUAACUCCGUGCCAGCAGCCGCGGUAAUACGGAGGGUGCGAGUGUUAAUCGGAAUUACUGGGCGUAAAGGGCACGCAGGCGGUUAAUUAAGUUGGAUGUGAAAUCCCCGGGCUUAACCUGGGAAUGGCAUUCAAGACUGGUUAGCUAGAGUCUUGUAGAGGGGGUAGAAUUCCAUGUGUAGCGGUGAAAUGCGUAGAGAUGUGGAGGAAUACCGGUGGCGAAGGCGGCCCCUGGACAAAGGCUGACGCUCAUGUGCGAAAGCGUGGGGAGCAAACAGGGAUUAGAUACC
RNAcentral lists this ribosomal RNA (453 nucleotides) under uncultured bacterium. RNAcentral describes it as "bacterial SSU rRNA". It matches the Rfam family "Bacterial small subunit ribosomal RNA", at positions 340 to 786 of the family's 1533-position model. The record is from RNAcentral.